GCCCUUUCAUUAGGCCUCCGAUAGGACUAUAUUAGAUGUGUCGGUUUACCGACUAUGGCGAUAAACGCUUUGCAGAAUAAGCGUAACGGACCCGGGGGCAGUGCCCGGCGCCUCCACCAAAAAUUCCUGGAAAUCCAGGGUGUUAGACAAUAAUACCUUAGGUUUUUUCAGACCAUUUUGGGGGCGAAACAGGAUCGACGUGCGUAGUAAAAUCAAAGUUUUUGCCCGGCAUUGUACCACCGUUAUCGGGCUACUUUUACAAAUGCUAACGAUAAUGAAGCAUUUGCGGUAGCAGCUUAACAGCUAACCUACCACGGGGUUCGGAGGGCACCUGGCAACAGAAGCCCUCCACU
RNAcentral lists this transfer-messenger RNA (353 nucleotides) under Rhodospirillaceae bacterium. It matches the Rfam family "Alphaproteobacteria transfer-messenger RNA". From Rfam's summary of the family: Bacterial tmRNA, also known as 10Sa RNA or SsrA, is named for its dual tRNA and mRNA-like properties. Lineage: Bacteria; Pseudomonadati; Pseudomonadota; Alphaproteobacteria; Rhodospirillales; Rhodospirillaceae. The record is from RNAcentral.